RNAcentral lists this ribosomal RNA (424 nucleotides) under uncultured prokaryote. Its description in RNAcentral is "bacterial SSU rRNA". It matches the Rfam family "Bacterial small subunit ribosomal RNA", at positions 355 to 796 of the family's 1533-position model. The record is from RNAcentral.
UGGGGAAUCUUGGACAAUGGGGGCAACCCUGAUCCAGCCAUGCCGCGUGAACGAUGAAGGCCCUAGGGUUGUAAAGUUCUUUCAGCGAGGAAGAUAAUGACGGUACUCGCAGAAGAAGCCCCGGCUAACUCCGUGCCAGCAGCCGCGGUAAUACGGAGGGGGCUAGCGUUGUUCGGAAUUACUGGGCGUAAAGCGCACGUAGGCGGAUCGGUUAGUUAGGGGUGAAAUCCCGGGGCUCAACCCCGGAACUGCCUCUAAUACUGCUGGUCUAGAGAUCGAGAGAGGUGAGUGGAAUUCCGAGUGUAGAGGUGAAAUUCGUAGAUAUUCGGAGGAACACCAGUGGCGAAGGCGGCUCACUGGCUCGAUACUGACGCUGAGGUGCGAAAGCGUGGGGAGCAAACAGGAUUAGAUACCCCCGUAGUCC